CAGUCGCCGCGGGAAUACAGAGGGUGCAAGCGUUAAUCGGAAUUACUGGGCGUAAAGCGCGCGUAGGUGGUUUGUUAAGUUGGAUGUGAAAGCCCCGGGCUCAACCUGGGAACUGCAUCCAAAACUGGCAAGCUAGAGUACGGUAGAGGGUGGUGGAAUUUCCUGUGUAGCGGUGAAAUGCGUAGAUAUAGGAAGGAACACCAGUGGCGAAGGCGACCACCUGGACUGAUACUGACACUGAGGUGCGAAAGCGUGGGGAGCAAACAGGAUUAGAGACCCCGGUAGUCCCUGUCUCUUAUAC
This 301-nucleotide ribosomal RNA is filed under the name uncultured bacterium. Its description in RNAcentral is "partial 16S ribosomal RNA". It matches the Rfam family "Bacterial small subunit ribosomal RNA", at positions 509 to 807 of the family's 1533-position model. The record is from RNAcentral.